CUUGAUCACCAUCCUGCAGAAAUGCAAUUGAAUUAAUAGCAUCCUUUUCACAUUAAGAACAUAUAUCACAAAUGUAAGACAUCUCACUUUCUAAUGUACAAUCAAUUUUUUCAAAGGUUGAAAAAGCUCAAGAAUAAUGCCAAUUGAAUUUGGACAUCAGUCAAAAAAAAGGGAACCAUAGUAGCCUUAAGAUAAAAUAUCAAGGAAAACAAAAGUUUAUGAACAUUAACACAUAAAUUAGGAUAUUUCUUAAAGAAAAUUUGAAAAAACCAACAUAGCUAAGGAUAUAACAUAUAAGAAAGUGAUAAAGUAAAUUGAGAACCAACUAAAUGAAUUUUGUGGUGUUUUUUACAUCGGUUUAAUCAAUACUUGGGAAGAACAUACACAUCAGCAGGCUACUAUUGUUAUUCUCAUACAAGAGGAAGAAAGGUAAAGCUUAGAAGAAAUUUUGUUGGAAAAAAAUUAAGAUCAAUUAGGGCGAACCCUUUCCCAAAAAACUGAUGCAACAAAUGAACCAGGAUUACUUCAAAGGGUAAAUUAUAGGAUGACCCUUGAGGUUUGGCAAAAACCAUCGGAUGGUCCUUGUUGUUUGAAAAUGUAACAAUUUAAUUGCUUAGGUAUGAUUUCUUUAACAAUAACACCCAUCCAAAAAUUUAAGACAUUAGCCAAAGAAAAAAUAAUUAAAAAAAAUAAAAUCAUAAGUUCAAAAACGUCCCUGUUGACCAUGGUUGCCUACUUGAAAAUAAUUAAGAAAAGAUUUU
This 761-nucleotide unclassified non-coding RNA is filed under the name Hevea brasiliensis (rubber tree). Lineage: Eukaryota; Viridiplantae; Streptophyta; Magnoliopsida; Malpighiales; Euphorbiaceae. The record is from RNAcentral.